This 222-nucleotide ribosomal RNA is filed under the name Triticum aestivum (bread wheat). RNAcentral describes it as "partial small subunit ribosomal RNA". The record is from RNAcentral. Lineage: Eukaryota; Viridiplantae; Streptophyta; Magnoliopsida; Poales; Poaceae.
AGAGUAGUUCCACUCGUGAGAGUGGUUUCCCAAAAAUUUGAAAAAUCGGCCACUUUAAGAUUACCAUCUGGGGAGAUCCGUUUAGUAUCCCAAAACUGCUUAGCAACAGUCGGACAAGUGGGUAAUGUUGGGGUGAACCAAAAAAGUUUGGGUACGGAUCGAUAUGAGGACCCAACUCCGUUGCAUUGCCAGAAUCCAUGUUCCAUAUUUGAAGCGGGUUGA